CUAACACAUGCAAGUCGAACGAAGCCUUCGGGCUUAGUGGCGCACGGGUGCGUAACACGUGGGAAUCUGCCCUUAGGUACGGAAUAACUCAGGGAAACUUGAGCUAAUACCGUAUGAUGUCUUCGGACCAAAGAUUUAUCGCCUAAGGAUGAGCCCGCGUCGGAUUAGCUAGUUGGUGGGGUAAAGGCCUACCAAGGCGACGAUCCGUAGCUGGUCUGAGAGGGUGAUCAGCCACACUGGGACUGAGACACGGCCCAGACUCCUACGGGAGGCAGCAGUGGGGAAUAUUGGACAAUGGGCGAAAGCCUGAUCCAGCAAUGCCGCGUGAGUGAAGAAGGCCUUCGGGUUGUAAAGCUCUUUUACCCGGGAAGAUAAUGACUGUACCGGGAGAAUAAGCCCCGGCUAACUCCGUGCCAGCAGCCGCGGUAAUACGGAGGGGGCUAGCGUUGUUCGGAAUUACUGGGCGUAAAGCGCACGUAGGCGGCUUUACAAGUCAGGGGUGAAAGCCCGCGGCUCAACCCGCGGAAUUGCCCUUGAGACUGUAUCGCUUGAACACGGGAGAGGU
Molecule: ribosomal RNA, 565 nt
Filed under: uncultured Alphaproteobacteria bacterium
Lineage: Bacteria; Pseudomonadati; Pseudomonadota; Alphaproteobacteria
Description: bacterial SSU rRNA
Rfam family: Bacterial small subunit ribosomal RNA
Source: RNAcentral